CCUUGCGCAAUUCAUAUACGGAAGCACAUCCAACAAACUCCCUUCCCUAUAUUCAGAAAAUGAUGAACACUUACUAAACAUCUUAUAUAAGUUAAAGUCGUACACUUUUAUUUACAUAAAGUAGAUGGACAUCUUUAGUCGGUACAUCGAAAUGCCGAUGUUUCUAUACUCGGCUAUACUUCAAAAGAUGACCGACAUCUCCUCCCACAAUUGUAUGCUUAAGGUCCAUCAACCAGUGUCGGCGUCCAAAGGUUCCCUCCUUUGCUAUCCUUCUCCUCGCGGUCAUAUCCAACCGCUCAAACCAUCUACUAAUCUGAGAUGUUAUUCCCCAAAAGGGGUGAGUACAACCACUUAGCGAGUAAAUGAAUCCAAUAACCACUCAAUGCAUCAUACAAGUCAUAUAUGCAUUGCAGGCAUUACUUACCUUGAAGCCAUGCGCAUACUAUCAUGCAUCAAUCUCAUAAUCAUAUACAUGUCAUCAUCAUCAUGACAUUAUUACAUCACACAUGUCAUCAUCAUCAUGGCACCAUCACAUUACACAUGUCAUCAUACCAUAUCAUAUAUCAUCAUCAUCAUCAUUGUCAUGCAUAUCAUCACGCAUAUCAUUAUGCCAUAUCAUAUAUCAUCAUCAUCAUCAUCGUCAUGCAUAUUAUGUCAUAUCAUAUAUCAUCAUCAUCAUGCAUAUCAUCAUGCAUAUCAUCAUGCAUAUCAUGCCAUUGGUGAUCAUCAUUAUUCCAUAUCACAUAU
This 747-nucleotide long non-coding RNA is filed under the name Eucalyptus grandis. RNAcentral's name for it is "long non-coding RNA (EGRA_LNC005815)". The record is from RNAcentral. Lineage: Eukaryota; Viridiplantae; Streptophyta; Magnoliopsida; Myrtales; Myrtaceae.